Molecule: ribosomal RNA, 253 nt
Filed under: uncultured bacterium
Lineage: Bacteria
Description: partial 16S ribosomal RNA
Rfam family: Bacterial small subunit ribosomal RNA
Source: RNAcentral
UACGAAGGGGGCUAGCGUUGUUCGGAAUCACUGGGCGUAAAGGGCUCGUAGGCGGUUUGUCGCGUCGGGAGUAAAAACUCAGGGCUCAACCCUGAGCGUGCUUCCGAUACGGGCAGACUAGAGGUAUGCAGGGGAGAACGGAAUUCCUGGUGUAGCGGUGAAAUGCGCAGAUAUCAGGAGGAACACCGGUGGCGAAGGCGGUUCUCUGGGCAUUACCUGACGCUGAGGAGCGAAAGUGUGGGGAGCUAACAGG